Molecule: ribosomal RNA, 465 nt
Filed under: uncultured Klebsiella sp.
Lineage: Bacteria; Pseudomonadati; Pseudomonadota; Gammaproteobacteria; Enterobacterales; Enterobacteriaceae
Description: bacterial SSU rRNA
Rfam family: Bacterial small subunit ribosomal RNA
Source: RNAcentral
CCUACGGGAGGCUGCAGUGGGGAAUAUUGCACAAUGGGCGCAAGCCUGAUGCAGCCAUGCCGCGUGUGUGAAGAAGGCCUUCGGGUUGUAAAGCACUUUCAGCGGGGAGGAAGGCGGUGAGGUUAAUAACCUCAUCGAUUGACGUUACCCGCAGAAGAAGCACCGGCUAACUCCGUGCCAGCAGCCGCGGUAAUACGGAGGGUGCAAGCGUUAAUCGGAAUUACUGGGCGUAAAGCGCACGCAGGCGGUCUGUCAAGUCGGAUGUGAAAUCCCCGGGCUCAACCUGGGAACUGCAUUCGAAACUGGCAGGCUAGAGUCUUGUAGAGGGGGGUAGAAUUCCAGGUGUAGCGGUGAAAUGCGUAGAGAUCUGGAGGAAUACCGGUGGCGAAGGCGGCCCCCUGGACAAAGACUGACGCUCAGGUGCGAAAGCGUGGGGAGCAGACAGGAUUAGAUACCCCGGUAGUC